RNAcentral lists this long non-coding RNA (5382 nucleotides) under Sus scrofa (pig). Its description in RNAcentral is "lncRNA (ENSSSCG00000042582.2)". The record is from RNAcentral. Lineage: Eukaryota; Metazoa; Chordata; Mammalia; Artiodactyla; Suidae.
AGUGCCUGCCGGGAAGCCAAUGUACAUUUGUCCACCUUCCAGGCUUUAAACUGAGAGGGCACACUGAGGCUGGCAUGCCAAAGUAUCUCCCAAAAUCUCUGUGUCCUAAGGAAUAUCUGAGAAGUUACUAAUCAGGGACACUCUUUCUUCCUGGAUCCCAAGCAAAACCGGAAGAAAUCGGAGAAAGCAUUGCCUCCAACAGUUGUGGUGUAAAGCAAGAAAGUGCGUGUUUUCCUUGAAGAAUCCUGACUCUUAGAAGGUGUGAAUUUGGGGGCCGUGGUCAGAAUCACACAACCUGCUCCCUGAGGAUGGCAGCGCUCCCUUCGGCCACUCCAGGUGCUGAUGUGACUGUCCCUCCAGGUAGGGGAGGGAAGGAGGCUUGGAGAUGUUAAAGACCCAUCACCUGCAAGAGACUUGGUGAGUUGAAUAGGUUAAGGUGUUAGUUUGGCACUACUCACUUCCGCUGGGUCCAGCUUGCAGCAAGGAAGCCUUUGAGCGAUACAAGAAAGUACUGAGGAUUCUUUCUACAUUAGGAGUGAACACUUUUGAUGACUAAUGAAAAUGUGCCUCAUUGGCCCAAACCUGAACCUUUCAGGAAGUGGGUUGUGAGAAGUCCUGAUUAGCGUGAAAUUAUAUUUUCCCACAAUGUUCCGGCCCCAAUGCACGCGGACCUAUAGGGCUGUAAUUCCCACGGUAAGAAAAUUUGCCCAGGCACUUGCGAUUGUGUGGACUUGCCCUCAAAUGUUACUUCCCAGCCCCGCUCCCAAACCCUGAAAAGCACUCUUCACUCACAUGGAAAAGCAUCAUCACUUGGGAAAGACUCGCCAAGAUUUCCCAUCCUUGUUCCAGCGAAUGGAGCACAAAGCACAACCUAAUGAAAGCCCUUUAUCAGAUCAGUUCCUGUGGGCCUUGUGCUCCAUCCACACCCCUCUGCCCAGGAGAGGAGAGCCCUGGGACGAACACUAGGUCAGGCCAUACCCCUCCGAAGCCCCCACCCCACUCCACCCUGGAUCUGGGGGAGAGUCUACUAUUUAAAGCCAUCGCUGAACCUACUGUCGCAGGCUUCUGGCCCUGUAAGAAAGAAAAGAGGUUAGGCUUUCACCCUUUAGAAACUCAACAUGAACUUAUCACAUUCAUGUACUGUUGGGUUUGUUUCCACGUGUUAAUUGUCCAUAAGUAACUUCCCGAACAAAGAUCCUUUCCCCGCCCUAAGCAUCCAAAGCGGAUGUGCAGUCCUUAAAUAAAUACACAUCAAAGCGUUUUACCUAUUUCCCUAUAAGCCUGGGGCAAAAUUAGCAUAAGAUAUGAUGAGUUGUUUAACACUUCUUAUCUCACAGAUCAAACAGCUGCCAAUAGGGCCAUCGCAGAUAGAAAAAAAAAAAUCUCAAAUCAUCUGCCAGAGUCAUCAGAAUCUCGAACCAUCCGCCAGAGGUCCACAGACAGCUAUGCCCCUAGAGAGCCUGUGGGUCGCAAGAGUGAUCAGAGCCAAGCUGCAGGUGUCCAGCCUCAGAGGAAAAGCCUGGAGCACACGCAGCCGGCCUGCCAGUAGAAAAGAUACGGGGCUGGCAUUUCUCUCUGCGUCCCUGAGCAAGGUCCAGGAAGCCCAGUUCACCCGACCACAGGCCACACAGAGCCCCUGCCAGUCCCAAGGGUCCAUAGCAGCCUGAUGCAGCCACCAUAAGCCCAGAGCAGCUGGCAGCAGCUGGCAGGGAGGGGAAGGGAAUGGGGGCGGCAUCGCCCCCUGUUACAGAUGUCUCAGCAAUCAAGUCUGGUGAUGGGCAAGCGAUGACGGUUGAACACCUGGCUGUGCUAUGGCUUUGCUAUGGCUUUACAAACCUGUCACAGGCACUGAAAGCACAAUCACAUGUUGGGUGGAGGGUGGAUAACUGGCUGCAAAUGCAUCUCUUCAUCAUGGCAAGAUAGGGGGAGUCAGGCCAUGCAUGGUCCCUGACAUUUGGAAGAGUUAACUUGGACCGAGGUCUUCAGUAACAAAAUACCAUCACAUACAAAGACUGAAGGGUGACAGGUGGCCCCAUUAGGAAAGAAUUCACAAAGCUUCAUUUCUAAUCAUCACUUAGAGACCGAAAUAUAAUGAUCUCUUUUAUUCCAUCAAGUACGAGUUGUCGUCGUCUUGCUAUAAGAAGAAUGAGCCUCCGCCCUUUGGAAAUUCAGCAUGAACUUCUCCUUUUCACAUACUGUUUGGUAUAGUUUUCACAUGUUAAUUGUCCAAUAAGCAACUUCCUGAACAAAGAUCCUUUUCCCUCCCACGCAUCGACGCUGGCGCUGGGUCUCUGCAUGAAUGCAAUUCGAAGCAUGUUGUCUAUUACCUGAUAAGCCUAAGACAAAAUUAACAUAAAAGAGAAGGAGGCUAUUUAACUCUUCCUGUCUUACGGAUCAAAUACAUCUAAGAUGGAAAAAGAGGAUCAUCACAGAAUGCACUGGAAGAGAAUAAAAUCUUCAAGUAGUAUUCUUUUUUUGGGGGGGUCUUUUAGUGCCACAUUCGAGGCGUAUGGAAGUUCCCAGGCUAGGGGGCGGAAGUCGAAUCAGAGCUACAGCUGCCAGCCUACAUACACCAUAGCCACAGCAACUCGGGAUCUGAGCCGCAUCUGCGACCUACACCACAGCUCACAGCAAUGCCGGAUCCUUAACCCACUGGGUGAGCCCAGGGAUGGAACCCGCAUCUUCAUGGAUCCUAGUUGGAUUCCUCACCGCUGAGCCACAACGGAACCCCAAAGUAGUAUUUCUGUUUUCUGGCAUUAACUUCAUCUCAUAUGUAACACACAUGUUAUUUGUAUCUCUCACCACACUUUUACGUUGUUAAAGUUGUAUCCAUUUAUAUACUUUACAACAUAAAAAAUGAAAUAUGAGAAUCCUAUUAAAUACCCUGAAGUCAGAUUUUUAUAACUAAAUUUUUCUCUGGCUUUUUAUCACUUACGAAAUUGUCUGGGUAAAAAUUUGAUGCCUGUAAUUUAAUAUUCAAUGGUAAUGAGAAGCUAAGCAAGUAUAUACAUGAGUGACUGGAUACUGUCUCCUCUGCUGACUGCUCUCUCUCAGUGAGGAGGGCCCCAAUUUUGAGAAGCUGCUUAUAGAGUUGGGUCUGCUCCCCACCUCCUUCCACCUUGACUUUCUAGAUUGAUCUGUGGGCAUCUUCCAAGAGCGGACUAUGGCUUAGAGAAAGCACCGUUGGCAAAGUAUUUAAUGAUAUUCCCUGCAGUUACUUGACCAAAUAAGACUGAAUCUUUAUAGCAAAGAGAGAAAACAAAAUUAUUUACUCAUUCAGUAUUUAUGAGUUUGGCAACAGGGCACAGUCCCCAGCACAGCGAAGGGCUGAUGUUUGCUCUAGCAAGGUACCCUCCCCCUGUUUCUUCAGAAGAUGGGAAGGAGAGGUUUACAGUUCCUGAGCUAAUGUUGACUCUUUGUAGCACAAUUCUCUGUGUUUUAGGGAGCAAUUAAUUCCCAUAAUUGACAUUGGUACAACAUGGAUCUUUAAAGAUUUAUGAAAGAGUGUUCUGCCUCAGCACCAGCAUUUAUUUCUAAGAGUAUCCCCAGGCAUUGCCACCAUGGCCCCUGGGACACCAGAUAUGAAGGGGACCAGAAGGUGGGCAGAGCUGGGAGCAGAAGUGUCACGUCUGAGCUGGGACAGCUCAGGCUUGAGGAUGGCGCGUGCUAAGCCUGGGCCACGCCAGCCUCAUGUCUAAUCCAAAGCUGUAAGUGGGCACCUGGGAGACCCGAGAUGGUGUUCGAGGAAGCAGGCUGAGAGUGAGACCGCGGAGCCUGAAAUGGGGCUCCUGGCUCUUUAGACUGUGGUCAUGUGGCUGCCCACACCAAAGGUGUACCAUCUAACCAAAUAUCAACCCCAUCAUUCCAUUGCUCUUUGGAAUGAUGCAUGCUUUAGGAUUGUCCUUGGGGAAGUUAUUGACCCCAGUACAGGCAGGCUUUGAGCUUUACACUUUGGUUCAUGAAGUAAGCCCUAACUCAGAGUUAAAUGAUUAACUAUGAAGAUUAAUAAUGGGGCAGGGGAAGAGAGGACGAUGAAGGGGGCAGCUGAUAGGGAAGGAUGGGGGGGGAGUAGUAUUUACUAAGCACCUACUGUGUGCCAAGCACUCUGCUAGACCCUUUAUAUGUGUGUUGUUUCAAAAUCCCCACAAGAACCCUGGCAGGUGGGUAUAAUUAGCCCUAUUGACAGAAGAGAAAACAGAGACUUCAGGAGGAAGGAUAAUGUGUCAAGCCAAUCACUGGCUGUAGCAGUGCUGGCCUUCCCCCCCAGGAUACCGGACACAGUGCAAUUUCUUCCAUGAAGCCCUGCAGAUGCUCCAAAGACACACCUUACAUCCUCACCUGUGAUCCCCCCUCCCGCCCCAGUCUCUCUGAGAGAUAAAAAUGUUCUUUCCUGGCUCCAAGUGGUGGCCCCAAGGGAGGGAUUAGGUACUUCAUUUCUGAGCCUCCCCCAAGCCCCCAGUCUCCAUCCAUCACGACAAACACUCCAUAUGGCGACAAUGUAUAUAAAAAUAGCGUGAGCUUGCUAGGGAAGUGCAACUUCAAAGCCAACAGACUUCGAGAGUCACCUUCUAACCAGAUUGCUACCUCCAAGCCCCUCUCACCUGGAGAACUUGGAGUCUCCCUGGAUUUACAAAAUAACUUGUCAACAUCUCUUAGACUGAAGGCGCCCUGAGAGGAGGAAUGGUGUCUGCUCAACCUCGCACAGCAUCUCAUGGGCUACACCCAGCACCUGAUCUAUUAAAACGUCCCAUCGAUACUGGCGAAAUGAAGGAAGGAAGACGAAUCUGUGCCUUCUUCAGCAUUAACUAAAAAAGCCUUUAUCAGGCAGGCUCCCCUUCUCGACGUCCCUUCCCCUGGGAGAGAAAUGUCCCUGCAGCUCUUGGAUCACUCCUAGAACUUUCUGUACCCACCCUGAGCCGAGCAAGGCUGUGACAUUCUGAGAACACCAGCGAGGUGCCAAGGUUAAUGCACCCCCCGAAAAAAGGAGCCACGCUCGGGCCCAGAGAUAGCGGGUGUUAAAUAUACACGUGAAAACCGAACUGCUCUUUCUUGGGGUGUGAUGAGAAGAGGUUCUCUGCCUUUCAAGAAAGGUUUGGGUAAAGGAACUCAGCGAAGCCCCAGCGGCCUGAGACUGAAAGCAGGCGGUCCAUAAUUUAUCGCUUAUCUGAGUAAGAGCUGUCUUAGACACACGGAAGUCAUUAGCUGAGCACGCUUGGGUGGGAGGCACCACUCAGGUACCUGGCACGGUGAGUCCAGAAGGAACAGGACCCGGCCUGGUCAGCAUCUAAAUCUCUGAACUAAAAUUACCGGGGCAGAAAACACUUGGCACCGUCACCACAUCCUCCACUCCCACCUCCGUGGAGCAACAUGUGCCCUUCCCCC